AGGUAAGAUUUAGAGCACAAUAAAACUAUAGGUGCUGUGUUGUUCCUCCAUAAAAUAUUUCUUAAGUAAGCAUGUUUCCUUUACUCCUGUAGCACUCAGGGAUGAUUUGUCUCAUACAU
Molecule: small nucleolar RNA, 119 nt
Filed under: Erinaceus europaeus (western European hedgehog)
Lineage: Eukaryota; Metazoa; Chordata; Mammalia; Eulipotyphla; Erinaceidae
Description: Small nucleolar RNA SNORA63 (ENSEEUG00000023868.1)
Source: RNAcentral